UGCCAGCCGCCGCGGUAAUACGGAGGGGGUUAGCGUUGUUCGGAAUUACUGGGCGUAAAGCGCACGUGGGCGGAUUGGAAAGUUGGGGGUGAAAUCCCGGGGCUCAACCCCGGAACUGCCUCCAAAACUAUCAGUCUAGAGUUCGAGAGAGGUGAGUGGAAUUCCAAGUGUAGAGGUGAAAUUCGUGGAUAUCAGGAGGAACAUCAAUGGCGAAGGCAACUUACUGGACAUUUACUGACGCUCAGACACGAAGGCUAAGGUAGCGAAAGGGAUUAGAUA
Molecule: ribosomal RNA, 279 nt
Filed under: uncultured bacterium
Lineage: Bacteria
Description: partial 16S ribosomal RNA
Rfam family: Bacterial small subunit ribosomal RNA
Source: RNAcentral